CACGCAGCGAGACAGAUGAGCGGAAAGGUUCGAGACUCGCGAAAGACUUAACCAGUUCAGCUGCGGGAACGGAAGGAGGAGGACGUACGCCACGCGUGUCUGCUGAGGAAGCUGCCGGGCCACAGGCUGAAUGGCCGUAAGUCACGUGACUUUGACCAGACCGACACUUGAAGGCCUAAUGGACAGUGGCUCCUUGCUGCCAUCAUAUCUCUAGUCCUCAAGAACACAACAACCUUCUUGCACAAGUCUGGCCAGCUCAUCAGGAUCUAUCGCCACUCCAGAGACACACCAUCUCGCUAACAGUCUCAAGCAAUCUGCACCUUUGGGGCUCUAGAAGCCGUGCGCCAUGGUUCCAUGGCGGAAGAAGAAAACAUUAAAAAUCGUCAGUGCCAAGUUUCAGUGGAUGGGAGAAUGGCAUGUGGAGGCUGACUGAUGGGCAAAGGCAGACAAGCGAAGACCUGCAGCAAGCCAGCAGCGGCAAUGAGACGAGCCAGGGUGAUGCCGUGCUGCUGCCAGCCUCUGAUGCAGGUGGAGUCAUGCAGAUGAUGGAACAGUUCAGCCGUGACCAAGAAUGUGAAGUGACCUUCACAUGGGCCUUGUGACGAAGGGGGAUUACAUUUACUCCUCAGUUGAGGGAACACCUGAUGGCCGAGAUGUCAUUUCACAGCGUGCAAGGAGUCUCUUUACAAGCCAGUUUGUGUGGCUUGUUGUGGAAGAGAACACCUGCUGCCUGGUUCAACACUGCACUACAUCUGAAAGAUGCAGGAUUAUCAGCUCACAAAGCUCCUGGAAAUUAAAUGAAAAAUAACUUUUGUUUACAAAAAAACUGGAAUAUACAUU
Eriocheir sinensis (Chinese mitten crab) is the source of this 840-nucleotide long non-coding RNA. RefSeq lists it as uncharacterized. The transcript is spliced from 5 exons. The record is from RefSeq and is a predicted model, not a curated record. Lineage: Eukaryota; Metazoa; Arthropoda; Malacostraca; Decapoda; Varunidae.